RNAcentral lists this long non-coding RNA (265 nucleotides) under Brassica rapa (field mustard). RNAcentral describes it as "long non-coding RNA (BRAP_LNC008388)". The record is from RNAcentral. Lineage: Eukaryota; Viridiplantae; Streptophyta; Magnoliopsida; Brassicales; Brassicaceae.
GGAUUCUGAGGACUCGUUUAGUGAAACCAUCCAUCUCCUUAUCGUUAGCUUCCCUCUUAAGGUUUUUAGGAAUCUUCUCCUUUCUUUUCCUUAACCUUCUCCCUUCAGAUUCUUGUUCUUCUUGAACAGAUUCUGAUGAACUAUUCAAAGGGUUGGAUUUUGGUUCGGGUGGGUUUGCUAAUGGUUUAGGUGGUGGUCUGAGUGCAUUGAUGUAAUCAUUAUCGAUUGAGGGUAACCGCACUCGGUAUGUCAGAGGUGCCUGUCG